AAAACAUCGCCUCCUGAAUAAUUAUAGGAGGUCCAGCCUGCCCAGUGACAAAGUUAAACGGCCGCGGUACCCUAACCGUGCAAAGGUAGCGCAAUCACUUGUUCUUUAAAUGAGGACUAGUAUGAAUGGCAUCACGAGGGUUAUACUGUCUCCCCCACCUAAUCAGUGAAACUGAUCUUCCCGUGAAGAAGCGGGAAUAGAAUUAUAAGACGAGAAGACCCCAUGGAGCUUUAAACUCAACAUCAACUGCCCUAUAAAUAGCUUAUUAACCACGCAGAUCUGACAGUUGGUUUUCGGUUGGGGUGACCGCGGAGUAAAACAAAACCUCCACGAUGAAAGGAAUUAACCUCCUAAUCUAAGAGCUACAGCUCUAAGAAUCAACAAAUUGACAAAAUUUGAUCCAAAUAUUUUGAUCAACGAACCAAGUUACCCUGGGGAUAACAGCGCAAUCCAUUUCAAGAGCUCAUAUCGACAAAUGGGUUUACGACCUCGAUGUUGGAUCAGGGUAUCCUAGUGGCGCAGCCGCUACUAAUGGUUCGUUUGUUCAACGAUUAAAACCCUACGUGAUCUGAG
Molecule: ribosomal RNA, 573 nt
Filed under: Microhyla achatina (Java rice frog)
Lineage: Eukaryota; Metazoa; Chordata; Amphibia; Anura; Microhylidae
Description: partial 16S ribosomal RNA
Rfam family: Bacterial large subunit ribosomal RNA
Source: RNAcentral